UCUCGGAGCGGGGACUGGGGGCGUCGGGGCCAUGAUUCUCGGAGCGGGGACUGGGGGCGUCGGGGCCAUGAUUCUCGGAGCGUGGACUGGGGGCGUCGGGGCCAUGAUUCUCGGAGCGUGGACUGGGGGCGUCGGGGCCAUGAUUCUCGGAGCGGGGACUGGCCGAGUCGGGGUCGGGGCCGAGAGUCUCGGAGCGGGGACUGGCCGAGUCGGGGUCGGAGCCGAGAGUCUCGGAGCGGGGACUGGCCGAGUCGGGGUCGGAGCCGAGAGUCGGGGAACGGGAGAGCGCUGCGGCGGCCCAGCGGGAACGGGAGAGCGCUGCGGCGGCCCAGCGGGAACGGGAGAGCGCUGCGGCGGCCCAGCGGGAACGGGAGAGCGCUGCGGCGGCCCAGCGGGAACGGGAGAGCGCUUCUUCCGCUUGCUCCUCCUUGGGUUAAUGAGGUCCCGGAGCUCGAGGCAGGCGAGCUGAUAGCUCCUGGGACCAAAAACAAAAUUCGUUUUCCGCUGCCAGAAGGGACUUCUUACGUCCAGGUAGUCCGGACCGUAGUCUGGCAGCGGGUCUGCUGAGCCCUUCUUUGGUCGCGUCAUUCUGUCAAGGUUGAGGGUGGAAGGCAGGACUCAAACGCAGACUUUUCCAAAACAAAAGACUUUAAUAAUCAAAAGGUCCAAAAUCCAAAAGGCCAAGGGGCAAAAACACACAAGCAUGAACCUACGGGGGCGAAAGACAAGAACAGGACAUGGGUGGCAAAAGACAAUGACGCGACAAGUGACACAAGAGACACACGGCUUAAAUACACUAGGGAGGUGCAGGUGAUUGGACACAGGUGUAAACUAUUAAGACGAUCACAGGGGAUGACGGGACAAGGCAGGAAGUGAAGUUACCCGGGGACACAAGUGGCAGAAAACUACAAAAUAUAACAUGAAGUAAACCACACCGUGACAGUACCCCCCCCUUAAGGGCCGACUUCCAGGCGGCUCACACUAGAGCGAAACAAGGGGUGGGGGGGAGGGAAACCAGAGACAAUGGUCGGGCCACCCAGGAAACUCUGGCGGGCGGCCCGGCGGGCGGCCAGGCGACCGGGGAGCCUCUGGGGGUCGGCCUGGCGGAUAGGCACACUGCCGGGGAGCCUCCGGUGGUCGGCCCGGCGGACGGUCAUUUGGCCGGCUCCGGAACGUCUCUGGCAUGGCAGGCUCGGGGACACGGGAACCCUCCGGGGGGGUCGGCGGCGGCUCGAGUUCGGGGACACGGAACACGUCAGCAGUAGUCGGCGGCCGCUCCAGCUCGGGGACACGGAACACGUCCGCAGCAGUCGGCGGCCGCUCCAGCUCGGGGACACGGAACACGUCCGCAGCAGUCGGCGGCGGCUCCAGCUCGGGGACACGGAACACGUCCGCAGCAGUCGGCGGC
Gasterosteus aculeatus aculeatus (three-spined stickleback) is the source of this 1408-nucleotide long non-coding RNA. NCBI's taxonomy places the organism in Eukaryota, Metazoa, Chordata, Actinopteri, Perciformes, Gasterosteidae. The record is from Ensembl.